UAAGAUGAGGUUUGCACCUACUUAUAUAUAAUGAAUGUACUCAUCUUUAGUCAAUGUAAAAUCUCUAACAUCUAUAUAAGCGAACAAAAGAAAUAAAAGUGGAUCCUAAAAAUAUAAUUAGAGCAUAUUGAGAUAACAUACUGCUAUGUUUCUCUGUUUCUCUUUGGGUAGGAAAAGUGGAUCCAAUUCACAAACUACGCAAGUGCAAAUUAAAGUUCCAAAGCCAAAUGGUCCCAGUGGCACUCCUUUGACCCACGUUGCAGCUUCCACUUUCUCAAAUGUUGGAUCUUCUGAUGUAUUUUCAUAUUAGGGAGGAGUUUCAAUUAGCACCACCUUAUGAUAUUGGGAGAGGGUUAUACCUUCUAGUUCAUGCACUGAACCAAGCAAAUUGGACAGCUGAACUUUGUACAACUGCAAUCAAAGUUUAGUUAAAAGAAGAGAAGUGAAAAUUUUAGAUGGCAAAAACUACAUAUACCACAUUGAACGCUAAAAGAAAAAUUAGAAACUAACCGAUCGAGAAAGAAGCUUCAACCCUCUAUAUCAUAAGUUUAUCCCCUCAGUCAAGAAGUUUUGUCCUAAUUCAGAAAAUAUAUAAGAAAAAACAACAACAAAGAAGUGUAGAAACUAACAUAGGUGUUGAAUUUGAGUAACUAGAAAUCAUAUACCUUUGGUACUUCCUUCAUUUGAUUUUAAGAUCAAUAUCCUCACUCUUAGAAAACAUAUAUUUUCAUCUUUUUUUUCUUCAUCUUUGCUUUUGUUUCUGC
This 764-nucleotide long non-coding RNA is filed under the name Phaseolus vulgaris (common bean). RNAcentral describes it as "long non-coding RNA (PVUL_LNC003563)". Lineage: Eukaryota; Viridiplantae; Streptophyta; Magnoliopsida; Fabales; Fabaceae. The record is from RNAcentral.